RNAcentral lists this ribosomal RNA (253 nucleotides) under uncultured bacterium. RNAcentral's name for it is "partial 16S ribosomal RNA". It matches the Rfam family "Bacterial small subunit ribosomal RNA", at positions 524 to 776 of the family's 1533-position model. The record is from RNAcentral.
UACGGAGGGGGCAAGCGUUGUUCGGAAUUACUGGGCGUAAAGGGCUCGUAGGCGGCCAACUAAGUCAGACGUGAAAUCCCCAGGCUCAACCUGGGAACUGCGUCUGAUACUGGAUGGCUUGAAUCCGGGAGAGGGAUGCAGAAUUCCAGGUGUAGCGGUGAAAUGCGUAGAUAUCUGGAGGAAUACCGGUGGCGAAGGCGGCAUCCUGGACCGGCAUUGACGCUGAGGAGCGAAAGCUAGGGGAGCAAACGGG